This 24948-nucleotide long non-coding RNA is filed under the name Hordeum vulgare. Its description in RNAcentral is "long non-coding RNA (HVUL_LNC006071)". Lineage: Eukaryota; Viridiplantae; Streptophyta; Magnoliopsida; Poales; Poaceae. The record is from RNAcentral.
CCUGUAAUAUUGUAUCAAAGAUCAAUACAAAGCAAUUAACGGGAGCGACACGCUCCCGAAGCCAUCCAACCUGUGCCUCGUGUUCGUGUGUCUCGGCGACUUGUGCUAGUUCAAAUCGAUCAACCCAGUUGCAUUGCAUAGUUCGUAGCUAGCCACCACAAAAGCAUCCACCUGCUAGCUUAGGUUACGUGUGCGUAGAACCGAUUGGCCGGCUAGUACGGAUACGUACGUGCUCCGACGGAAAGUACUCGUCCGGAUCGACGUCUGACGUGGGUGUGUGCCAACAAAUUUGGAGCUGGACUAGUGAAUUCUGGACUGUCUGGACAAAUAUGAGGAAGCCGAUAGAACAUAUGGCUGCGAACGGCACUCUGGGGCAGAUCGGAGAAGUGCUCCGAAUUACAACAUUCUUGUGUCACCUCGGGGUAGCGCUGUUGUCCAAAGAGACACCGCAGAAGAUAUAAUUUAUUGGCUAUGAUGUGCUCAGUUGUGCUUCUUCAACUCCCUGGCCAGGGUAUCCCUUUCAACCUUCAGCUUGGUUUAUUCUUGGAUGUGCUUGUUGAGGUCCUAUUGGAUGAGGGUGGUCGCCUCCCGGGCAGCCUGGCACGCUAUUUGCACUUUUUCAAAAGGAGUGGCUGUCUUCUAGGUCUCGCUCUUGGAAUUCAGACCUGGUGCUGGGUAGUCUGGAUCUGAAACUCCAGCUUGGCCACCCGCGCUUCUCGGUAGCUGCACAAGCAGGCAGGUGUGUCAGCGGUACAAAUCGCACAUGAUGGGGAUAGACUUAAUGCGAUAAAACCGUGUGCUUGAAAAAUAGAUGUGUGCGAUCUUCUUUUUGUUUUGAAUUUUCACCGGGGAGAGGUUUCUUCCCACCUGAAUUGUAUUCAUUNNNNNNNNNNNNNNNNNNNNNNNNNNNNNNNCAAUCGAAGGGCACCGGCCAACCAAGACUGCACAAGGCAGCGACACCACCGAAUUCAUGUGAAACAGACUGCACAAUGCCACGACACCACAUGGGUCAUGUGGUACCAGACUGGACAAUGCCGCGACAGCACCAAUGUCAUGGGGUAUAGACUGCCCAACACUGCGACAUGACUAAUGGGCGUGCUGAUGAUGAGUUGUCAACUAAAGUAUGCCUCGUCCAUGCGGUUGUGCUCCUCGGACGCACGUCCUGCAUCACCAGCAUGACGACCUGAGCAUGCGUCACGCACGUCCUUGCAAGACAUCAAAGCAUCACUCUUGCAAGUUGCCCUCAUAAAGGUAGGAUGUGUUUGGUUGUUGUCACGGGCUAGAAUGUCACGGUCCGGACCUAUUCUUGGGCCUGGUUCUCGCGUUUGGUUCGUAGCUGGAACGAUAACCCACUGGUUCCCGCAGACUGAAUAUUCGGUUGAGAUGCGGAACCGGGUGAAACCUCAAAAUUUAGGCCAACUUCAACGCGCAACCCCAUCCUAUCGGUCCGCGUCCAUUUGGGGGUAAACGGACAAAACAGUCCUUCCAACGCGCGGCCGCAAACAGAUGACUGUCCAUUUUCUGUCCGCUUUCAACCCAUUUCCGGUCCAAGUUUGAGCCGAGUUGGCAGCCAUACAUACAUCACACAGAUGGGCGGGACACACGCCCUUGUGCUCCCCUGGCCCACCCGUCGGUGGCACAGGCGGCCACUUUCCCUCCCUUUCCUCCAAAACCCUCCCGCGCCCCACCCUCCACCAUCCCGCGCCCUGCGCUUGCCCCUCCCUCCAUCCACCAUGACCAACGACGCCAAUCCUGGCGACCCACCACCGGCUGCCCACCCCACUGCGAAAAAAAGAAGCUGGUGAAGAAGCCUCGAUCGGAGCUGACGCCGGAGGAGGCCACCAAGCUGGACGCCGAAUCGGCCAAAAGGAGGAACCGACGGAUUGCUGCGAUAGAGAAGAAGGCGACCGCCGAGUACGCUGCCGAGUGUUCCCUAUGGUGUGCAUUGCGGCACCAAGCUGCCCUCGACGACAAGGAGUCCACCGGCUUCUCGGCCCAUUGCAUGUCGCAACACCGUUUCCCGAGCAUGGCCGUCACAUAGGAGACAUCGGAUGUUCGUGCUCCGCCGCACAACCAUGGGCAAACGAGAUUCUCGGCGUCACCAGACUACAUGCAUCGUGGUCGAUCCGACCACGCCCACAGGCAUCAUUGACCUCAACAUCACGCCAGGGUACAGUGGCACUGGCCAUUGUGAAGACGACAUGCAAAGGAAGCAGCCCCGGCCGUUCGUGUCGACUCACAUGGCCGAAGCCGGCAAGCUGUUUGACGAUAUGCCACCGCCGACGCAGACGGCGACGUUUGAGGAGCCUGACUAUGCCUCAUUCAUGUAGAAUGUCAUCUUUGAGGGUCGUGGUGAGGCGUUCCACGUCCACGGCCAAGAGCAAGUUUUUGAUCCCGACGAGACCCAAAGCCAGGACGUCCGUGGUACCUAUGAUGACACUCAGUUCGUCGGGCAUGAUGAUGGUGAUGAGGACGACUAUAGCAACUCGUGGCAUGAAGAUGAUGGCUUGUAUUGUGAAGAUGAAGAAGAAGAGGUCGACAUUUACGCGGAGCCAUUGUUGUUUGUUGACGAGCUCACCCAAAAGGCCGAAGCACGGAAGAGGAGGAAAAACAUUCGCACGGGAUCAUACACCCACGCCAACGACACUUUGAUUUGCGAGCUUGGAAGGAAAUUGGCCAAGAUCCAAUAAAAGGUGCCGAGCAAAAAUGGUCCGUCUUUUGGACAAGAGUUCACAAGAACUUUCAUGAGCGAAGAAAGUUUGCCCCCUACCAAUUCACAAGCAACCGCGGCAUCAAUUCAAUCCAAAAAAGAUGGGGAUUCAUCCAACAAGAAUGCAACAAAUAUUGUGUCGCGCUUAAGAGUGUCAUAGCCCGUCCCAUGAGCAGCCUAGGACUUGUUGACUUGGUAUGAACCUCUCGCUUUUUCCAUCAUGCGUCUAUUACUGUUGGCAUGCCAUUUAGGUUUCAUGCAUUGUAUGUCCUUUCAUGUUACAAUUGUGGCCGCAUGUUUGAUUGUGUAGGCAUUCCAAUCUUUGGAAGCCUUCAAGGCCCGGCACAAAGACAAGCCGUUCACUCUCACGCAAUAUUUGGUACUCAUCAAAGAUUGCCCAACUUCAGAGACCAAUACAACGCUCUUAAGAAGAAGAAAAGACAGAAGGUGGCCGUGGUUGACGAUGGAGACGUGCUCAAGAGACCGAGGGGAAGGACAAACUCCAAGGCUUACGAGAAGCGUGAUGCGUCUUCUAUAGUGUUACAAGGAACUUUGGAGACCAUGAUGAGCCAAAAGGAAUUGCAGCUGGAGAGAAAGAGCAGAGGAAAGGUGGAGCAAAUGAAGAUAUAUCUUGAUCUUCAGCAAAUGAAGAUAUAUCUUGAUCUUCAAACGAAGAAACUUGACAUGGAGGAGGCCAUGAAGAGGAGGAAGCUUGACAUCGAGGAGGCCGCUCACGGCAAGAAGCUAGAGAUCGAGUCCACCAUUGCCGAUACAAAAGACAAGGAGGUGGCACUAGCGUUGAUGAGCGUCGACAAGAACAACAUGUCACUGGUGAGGAAGGCUUUGGUUCACGAACCGGUGGAAGGAGAUGUUCGCCCACGACAGCCUGCUCUAGGUGAGACCUCGGCUGUGAUGGUCGCUAUGGCGGACCUUUUUGAAGGUUGGCUGUUGUGCCGGCCGCUGGCUUUGUUGCCGGCGACAAAACUUGUCCAUUUUGAAGGCUGGCUCGUGUGCCGGCCGCUGGCUUUGUUGUCGGCCCCCAAAACUUGUCCAUUUUGAAAGCUGGCUGCUGUGCCGACAGCUGGCUUUGUUGCCGGCGCCAAACUUGAGGUGACCAACCUAUAGGCCGAUGGCUUUGUUGCCGGCCAGCUGAUCUAGUGUGAACGCACCGGCUGGCGUGAACUUGGCCGAGUGGAGGAGAUGUUGCCGAAAUGUGUCCACUCGUUGGACGCACGGCCGCCGCAUCCAUAAAUCCAGACGGAUACGUCCAUUAUCACCCUCAAACGAACGGAAAACGAACAAAACACACAUUCAUUUGGGAUCGUGUGAUUGGAGUUGGCCUUAGCAGACGACAAGGAACCGUCUCCUCCUCGUCGCACUCCCGCAAAAAUCAUCCCUCGUCCUCUUUAGGUGCGUCACCUCCCCUCGUCUCUCUUCCUCCCUCGAUCUGCUCCGUCUGCCCGAUUCCUCCUAUCCUCGCCGCCGGCUCACUGUCCUUUCCUCUCUCGAUCUGCAACACCACGGAGGAGUCACGGACGGUGUAGAAGACCCACCUCAGAUCAGAUGGGAAAGUGCGUGACAGCAUGAGGGCGACAACAAGCAGCGGACGCAGCAACGGCAGGCAGCCCCGGAAGUGGAUUGAUUUGUUAUCUUUCCAAGUCACAGCAAGCAGCGAAGGCUCAAUUUCUCUCCCCCAAUGGUGAAUUCUGCAACUUGUUCGCCGCAGCAAGCAGUGUAAAGUUGUACACACAUGGUUAUGUUAUUCUGCAUGAGUUGCAGAAUUAUCUACAAUUAUUCAUUAGUCCCUUCGUUUCGUAAUAUAAGAGCGUUUUUGACACUAGUGCAGUGUCAAAAAUGCUCUUACAUUAUGGGACAGAGGAAGUAGUUAACAAAAUAUUAUGUAUGUAUCUUGCAGAAUCAAAUAUACAUGGUUAAGUAUGACACUGGUGUAAAUUUCGGAUUAAGUGUAUAUUGUUUGGCUAGUUCCAAAAUGUUUGUUUGUAUGCUUGUGACUGCACUUUGUUAACUGUUUGUGCUGCAAACAAAAAUAAAUAUGUUGCUAAAAUUUCAAAAACUAUGUUCUUCAGUUUGCAAAGGCUAUAUUUGUUUCAGAUUGUACAACAUUUUUGUAGGGGAUAAUCUCUUAAUCCAUAUGAAAGAGGUGUCUGAAAUCAAUGUUGCCGAAUUCCAUCUUUGCAACCAAAUACAGUAACAUAACUGUUUCGUUCUAUUUUUUAGCUCCAACCAAACGUAGGAAUGGAACCGACCCACUCUCAUGCAAUGGAACCAUUCCCUUCCAUUCUAUUUGGUUCCUCAACCAAACACACCCGUAGCAAACCGAGCUGGUGCCUAGCACAGAGUCGGACGAGCUGGACAUGUCUUUUUCUUCAAUAUUAGCAGCUACUAAUAUUUUGGUCACAUACCACACGCACGAGGGAUAAAACGGUGUUUUCAUAUGUCAUUUAACACUGUUAAGGCUUAAAAUGGAAGGAAGUGUCAUAAAUGACAUUCCCUCGAUCUCCGCCAUUGAGCUCGUGGAUUCGCCUCCCCUCCAUCUGCCGACUACUGGAGGUGGGGCGGGGAAUCCUACGGCCUUGGCUCCGGGUAGUAGAUAGGUAGGGUUUUAGACCUUGUAGGGGCGGCGCUUGAACGGAUGGCAUCACAUCUUCUUUGAUUCAAUCUUCCGAGCUCCGAUCCUCCUCACAUUUGUCCAUCCAGUCGGACUAGACGGAGCUCCGACAUAGAUUUUUGCCAGCUCAUUAGGGCAGCGAGGCCUACGAUUUCUCGUCGUGCAUAUGCAACGGUGAGAGUUUGUGUUAGGUUUUCCAGACAGAUUCAAGAAUUCAACAACGACGUCAUUGCUCAAGGCCGCUGCUACUUAGGGGAACAUGCAUGAAGACUUCCUGACAGUCAUCAACAUGGUCAUUCUGGCGGGUAUGGGAGCGGCGACAACGGCACGUCGAUGGCUCCUUCUAGUGGGGCAAUGGUCGUUCGGUGAUCCAUUGACCUUGAUAUAAUUGUUGUUAUGUUUGAGGUGCUUUGUACUCUGAGUGAAUGUUUAUAAAUAGAUCAGAUCAUCUUUGCAAAGAAAGACACAUAAAGUUUGGACUCGGUGUUAGAUAGGGAAGAAAAAGUCCAGUGUUUGAUGUACAUCUACGUAGAGUAGGAAAAGGGAAACUUUCAUGAGGGAAAAAGAAGUAGAAUUUAUUUUAAAGAAAGCUGCCCCUCCCUCUCUGGAUGAAUGGUCAGUCAAUGGUGGUGUUGCUUUCCGGAUGAACUGUUGGUUAAGCUAAAGGGCACAGCUGAUGGAGCAGCAAUGCCGGCAGGUAAUUACCUCAACCGAAAGAACCAACCCAAAGAUGCAAACGCAGAUAGAUGGGAACAGAAUCCUCACAUGUGGAUAUUAUUGGAAUAUGCAUCACUGAAAGCAGAUAGAAUGAAUGUCCAUCCAGGAAGGAAAAGGAUCAUGACUGGCUGAGGCUGGCCAUAGUGGAAGUAACUAAGAUAGUAUUAUAUACUUGGGACUAUCAAACAUGCUGAUGUGGCAGACAAUUAAAAAAGGGAGAGAGGGUUAGUGUAACAUAGAUAGAUAUCGUAACAUGUUAAAUGAUAUGCUACUAUAUGUCAUGCAUGUCAGUAAAUAAGGUCAUCUAUAAUACUACUUUAUGAUGUCAUGCUGAUGCCACCUCACCUCAUGACGCCUUUCCCUGAUUUUUCCAGUAUUUCUUUUCAAAGCUAUUACCAUGUCAUGCCUCUUCCUGCCUUCAUAGAUUGUUUGGUCUUCGGAGCGACCCGACACGAUGCCGCUCCCCUCACCCUCACAGUAUCACGGCAGCCUCUGACCAGCUACGUAUCGCUCCAUAACAAGGCCAACUGCAGUAAACAGUCAAUCUGUCUAGCAGUGGGUGAAAAGGACCGAUCGAGCUACCUUAAUUAACCUGCAUGCGUAUGAUUCUCGCUUGCAAUAUGAUGAAUCCUGGCCAUCACGGCAUACAACACCGGGUGAAGACAAUCGACACCAAGAUGCAUGGUGCAGGAACAAGGAUGCCGACAGCGGCAGGGUGUAGUGGCCCGUGGGGUCUCCGUCGGCUGCACCGUCAGGUUCGGAGACAGCUCCUGCUGGCUAUCUACCCAGUGGAGCACCACGUAGCCAAGCUCAGCUAGCUAAUCGAUCUGUUUGCACUUGCUUCCUCGAGACAUAAUCCAGAUGGGAUCCUCCCCCUCUUUUCACCUGGAGCAAGCAUGCAUCCCUGCGCACUUGGGAUCAAUUAAUGGUUUGAUUUGCAGGGUCAAUAGUUUGUAAGAAAAUACAGUAGAGGGAGUACUCCCUUAUUAGCCAAUACGUGGCCAGCUUAAUUAGCACCACAUUAAACCAAGCAAGAGACAAAUCCUGAGUGUAUAUUUUAUACCAUCGGGUUCAGGAUUGGAUCUCGAUCGUCCAGCAUGGGCAUCAGGGCCUGGUGCCCAUCAUGCUACUAGGUACUAGCCACUUUUAGUUUCCUUUACCCAAGUGAAAGUGCUGACCUAAUUCUAGCAGACCCUGUCUGUGGCUUCCAUGUGGCUCAUCAACUUGCUUCCUGUACGAUGUGAUUGAUGAGCCCAUGAUGAUCAUACAUAUGGGGCUAGGUUAAUUAUAGGCCGCCCAAAUUAACUACAGUUUAGCUAGCUUUUUCAUAGAUUGACACCUAGCACCACAACUACGACAACACCACUUGACUGACGACUUAAGUUAUAGGCAAAUCCAGUAUUUUUAUGCCGCUAAUAGAGCUGGCCGUACACAAUCUAAUCAAGCAUGUGGCGGUUAUAUCAAUCUCACACGACCCUUUGCUGAAAUGUUUCCUAUAGAAAAACUGUUGGCAUUGCUGGGACCAGUUUUUUUUUAGACAAUUUUCCUGGGCCAGGUUGUCUUAAUCCGAUGUGAUGGUGUUAUGGGCCAGGGACGUCUCACUAUGUCGGUUGCUGACCCAAAUAAGCCAACAUGAGGCCCCUUGAUCGGUUCCGAUAUGGGCCAUCAGUCUGGCCCAUGGGCCUCAUAGGAGAAUUUUUGAAAGAGUUGUCGUUCAUAACAAAAUAACUAGCUAGAGCCGUGGAGUACUCCCCUUCACUAACAUAGCCGACUAGAUUGUGUAAUCCUAGGGGGGCCGAUAUGUUUAUAAGUCGGGGCCGUGCUAGUCGAUAGAUCAUCAUACAAUCCCAUGGUUAUUACUUAUAUAUCCUAGUCACAAUAUACACGAGCAGGAGUAGGGUAUAUAUUACCUUAUAAGGAGGGCCCGAACCUGAAUAAAUCCGUAUCAUGUUUUUCUUCUGACCAAAUUACAACAUCUUAAUACCCUACCAAGGAAUCUGUCAGAUUCUACUCCGACAAAAUGCGUUGAACAUGCAUAGACUCACCUACUGACGUCGAUGUGCGGUCAAGUCUUCCCGUACAUCAUCGCUUACGAGAGGGUUCGGUUAAUUAUGACAACAAGUACAACUCAUUUUUCUUUUCUCACAUAUGGAUGUUGGCUGACAGUUUCGUGGCUGUCCCUACCAUUGAUGCAUUGCAUAUGGCCCUUUUGUAUCUUUACCAUUAGAAGGGAGUUAGUGAUUAUUCAUCAUGUGUUUUCGUUUGUACGUCCUCCACUUCAUACAUUUUCCCUCCUUUUCAUUACCCCUUUUUUGUCCAUACUGAUUUCACGUGUUUUCGUUUGUAAGUCCUCCGCUUCAUACAUUUUUCCUCGUUUCCAUUACCCUUCUUUUGUCCACACUGAUAUUCUUGACACGCCAACAUUUCUUGGGCAAAAGUCUCUGUAAUCAUAUCCUCUUUUCUCUGUCUGAUCAGAUCAGCCCAUGAUGGCGUGGUCGGGCUAGUUUAAUUAGGUCACUCUUCUUUUUGAGCAACUAGGUAAUUAACUUCAUUUUGGCUAGCUCUUCACUAAUUGACACCUAGCUUUGACUCCAAGGUUAGUGCAAAAGCCAACUUAACCCAUUUUUCGUCUUGACUUUCAAGCUUUCGCGGUCCUUGGAUUGGUCGUCAUGGCCAUAGUAGCUUGGGUUAAGUAUUCAAUACGACUUUUCGCAAAAAAGAAAAUCAAUACAACCAGCUUGCUUGUGAUUACAGGGACAUUGCAUCACAGAUUAACAAUCGGCAAUUAAGAAAUCAUAUUCCAUCGAAAGUGGCAUGGACUUUCAAGUAAGUACUAAUAAGAUAUUGUUAGGUUGAUCUGGGUCCAACGGCCCAUUGGACCUUGACUCACGCCCUGAUCGGGGGCGUUUAGCCCAAGCAAGGCUGGUGGGCCCCUGUCGCGCAGUGCUAUAUGUAGAGGAGGUGGGGACCAUGACACGGGUUACAAGGUUCGCUGCCGCUACUGGUUCCUCACUCUCCAACCCUAAUCCGAUCUAAAGGGAUGCACUGAAGCGACGAGAAGUCCACCGCCGCCACUACCGGAUCUCUCUCUCCUUCCCCACCGUCGUCCCCAUCUCACGACAGUCGCCGGAGGGAACUCAUCGAGAUCAUCACAAUGUAUAUCUCCAUAUCACACCGAACACAUCUAGCCUUGUCGAUCCACGGAUCUAUCAAUGGUAUCAGAGCCAUGAGGCUUUAGAUGUUGUUACGGUUGCAAGAACAUAACGAAAGCGAAAAAAGUUUCCCCUCCCCGAUAUGAACCGUAGAAGGGCAAAGUUCAAAAAAAAAAGAAAGCUUCACCGGAGUUCUCUCCGGUAAAGAAGCGCCGCCUCGGCCGCGCCUGUUCCUCUUGAUCCCCACACGCAUCGGCAAGCCGAGGUGUGGGGAAGAAGAACCUACCUCCUCGGAGGCAAAGAAUGGACCUAGAUCCAAAAGAAAAACAAAGAAAUAAAUCGGAUCGGAUCCGAAAAGGCAAAAAGAAACCGGAUGAGGGGAACAUGCAAAGAAAAUCAAAGGCACCCACGGGGGCAAAGGACUUCAUCACCAAAUCCCUCGACGGUGGCGCGCUCUCCCUCGGGAGAGGGCGCGCACCGACAAGAGGAGCGGAGGAGGCCGCUGCUGCGCAAAGGAAGAGGGGAUCCUCGGUGGGGCGUGGCUGCCACCACGCGAGGAACGGCCGAGGGCCACAUAUGGUGCGGUUUCCGGCCGCUGCGAGAGAGACAAGAGGCUCGGGGUAAGCAGCAGAGGGGCUGCGGGAGCUUCGGCGGGGCAUGAGAGCCACCGCUCGAAGGGAAGCCCCCGUAGUCGCUCUACCACCCAUGAGGAGACCCUGCUCCGGUGGCCUGAGGAACUGCUCGAGGAAGGAAGAACACCCCACGGGGAACGCCAUGGCUCCGAGGAAAAGAGGCGGCCACCAUGAACGGAAUACGGCCACGGCAUGCGCUCUGCGGGGNNNNNNNNNNNNNNNNNNNNNNNNNNNNNNNNNNNNNNNNNNNNNNNNNNNNNNNNNNNNNNNNNNNNNNNNNNNNNNNNNNNNNNNNNNNNNNNNNNNNNNNNNNNNNNNNNNNNNNNNNNNNNNNNNNNNNNNNNNNNNNNNNNNNNNNNNNNNNNNNNNNNNNNNNNNNNNNNNNNNNNNNNNNNNNNNNNNNNNNNNNNNNNNNNNNNNNNNNNNNNNNNNNNNNNNNNNNNNNNNNNNNNNNNNNNNNNNNNNNNNNNNNNNNNNNNNNNNNNNNNNNNNNNNNNNNNNNNNNNNNNNNNNNNNNNNNNNNNNNNNNNNNNNNNNNNNNNNNNNNNNNNNNNNNNNNNNNNNNNNNNNNNNNNNNNNNNNNNNNNNNNNNNNNNNNNNNNNNNNNNNNNNNNNNNNNNNNNNNNNNNNNNNNNNNNNNNNNNNNNNNNNNNNNGGCAGAUUCAAAGGCUCUUUCUAGGAAUUUUUUCCUACGAAAACAUGAUUAGAAAGUACAAAAUAAAAUGUUCAAAGUUUCUGUCAAUUUAGACAGAAUUGUUAAUUUAUUUUUCUGAAAAGAAAAGUAAAAAUAUUUCUGAGAACAAAAUAGUUUUCUCAGAAAAGGAAAAGUUCAUGAUCUUUAUAAAAGCAUUAAUAAAGUUCAUGAAUUUUUUAAUUAUGACAGAAUAUAUUUUUCUGUAAUAGUGACAAAAUUUUUCUACAAAGAAAAUAAAAGGUUCUGAAAAUAAAAGAAAUAUUUUCAGAAAGAGAAAAGUUCAUGGAUUUUACAAAAGGAAAAUAAAGUUCAUGAAUUUUUUAUUUUUCACAGAUUUUUUUUCUGUAAAGGUGCAUGAAUUUUCAUAUUCACGUUUUUCCGGUGCAAAGUAAAAAGGUUUAGUCCUCCAAUUAAAUUGGAACCAACGGAAAAAUUUAAUUGGAAGAACUGUUAUUAGCAAAGUUUUUCCCUUGUGGGUGAAAUAGGAUUCAAACAGUUUCCGCUAUGACAAUAGAAUGAAGUUUGUUUUAAAGUUAAAAUAUGGUAUUGUUGUUUUCUGACCAACGUUGAUGAUAACAAUACUAUAAUUGUAUGAGUCAUCUUAUGUUUAAAGCUUAAAUCUCUGAUAAAUUUUGUAUCAAAGUGAUCACUUUUCGGAGCACAGAUAAAGAAAUGCAUAUGGUUAAUGAUGAUGAUGAUUAUUUCUUAGCAAAGUUGCUCAGUAGAAAUACUACCAUCACAUUGUUUAUGAGUUAUAUGCAUUAUUUCCAUUUCUGCCCAACGGUGAUAUGGAAUUAAUGCAGAAGAAUGAUGUUUUAUUCUAAUUCUGCCACAACGGUGUUUUAGAAUAUUCCAGAAAGUUUAAAAGGUUUAAUGUGCAUGAUUCUAAUCAGACCAACGUAGGGUUAUUUUUAUGCUCAUUACCGUUGUUUAUUGGCUAAGUUUUCUCAGACUAAAAGUUAUUCAAGCUUUCACUCAUGAAAGCGAAUGGUUUGGGUACUAGUGACCCGAAAGAUGGAAAAGAAAGGCCAUAACUUGAGGGAAUAAAUUCUCUCUAAAGGAUGGCUUCACAAGAAAAGAACUCUUGGAUAUUAAUUCAAGAAAAGAAAAGAGAUAGAUCAUUGAGAGUCUUGGUUGACGAAUGUCUUUCAUGUACUCUCUAUGAUGGAGUCUCCUUUUUUCAGUCAACAUGAUUGAAAUGAAACAAGCAACAUGCAUGUUUAAUUUGACCAAUGUCGGAUCAAACAUGUGUGUCAAAGAUAAUUCAGAUUUAUUUCUGAAUUUGAUGCAGUCAAAAGAGCCAAUUAUGGCAUUUAUGAUGUCCCUUAAAGGGAAUUACCCGCAUGGCGGGAAAAGUCUGUGAAGAAUGCCUGCGUAACCGGGUGAAGUUGACAUUGUAUUAUGUCAACAAUCCGUGUAUGGAGGGAGAAAUUUUGGCAAAAGCCUUAUCCUGUAUGACAGGAGAAAGUUAUGAUGACUCAUGUGCGGUUAAUGUGUCCCACUAUGGGAGAAAAGUAUGGAGUAGCUAUUAAGCUUUCCUAUCAUCGACCGUACACCUUAUGUGUAACGGUCAUUAUGCAAUCACUAAAUCCAGAAAGGAUAAAAGUAACAUGCGAACCUAAAGACAAGAAUGAUAUGCAAGUGUGACUUGGAAAAGAGACAAUGAUAAAGAACUCUGUUGAGUUUCUGAAAUGAAAUGAGGAAAAAGUACUCCCAUACUAGUUAACUUAUAACUUCAUUUUACAUGAAGUGAUAAGAUGAAUGAGCUAGAUAAUCGAAGUUUCCUCAUUUCACAAGAGCUAUGAAUGGGUUUCGAAAUUGUGGCAAAAAAGUUCUUGCCACAUUUCGAGGGGGAGAAAGAGACAUGAAAUACAUUGUAAUGUAUUUCAUGACUCCUCUGUACUUUAGAUGAUGUGAUGCGCAUUAUGCAUCUAAAGUGAUCCAUUAAUGAAGAAUAUGAUUGUCAAGGGGAGUACGACAGUCAUCUGAAUACCGUCAUUAUGAUACCCCUAAAGAAAAGAAACAGUUGUAUUUUCGGAUCUUUUAUAGUUCCGAAAGUAGACUAAGGAAUACAACAGUGGUGCUUAAAGUGCCAUAAAGAAGAAAGUUUAAAGAUACGCCAUUUCUUCAGUGAAGAUGGAGUAAUCUGGGGGAGCAUGUUGUAUGACCUAUACAACACCUGUUGUUAGCUCUACAAGGGAUCUUGUGAUACAGGUCCCUGUAAAACCUAUUGCCUUUUGGAAAUGGGUGACUAUAGAAUGAAUUGCCUCUUGGCAAUGACAGAGCAACGACUACCCCAUAUGAAAGAAGUGCGAGUACCUGAGAUUUUGAUGGUCUCUAGGAAUGUGAAAAUCAGAUACUUGUGACUACUAUAAAGUCUAUGUUAGUGAAAUUCCAUCAUUUGAAUUUCACUAACAUAGACUUUAUGAAGGGUCUACAAGGCAAAUGUGACUCCAAAGGAAAUAUGUAAAUGCGUAAUAAAAUGACUUAAAUCGAAAGAUUUUGUGCAAAGAAAAUGAGAGGAUAAUUGCAUUCAUGCAAAGUUAUAGAAUGGGAAAUUCGUUUCCCAAUUCCUAUGCAUGUGGAUGAUGUCCUACUUGCUAGUGGUGAUGCCAAUCUACUGCAGGAGGAGAAAAGAAGUUCUUGUCCUCAAAGUUCAAAAGAAUAAAAGGGGGUAUUAGGAAUGUCGUAUGGGCACGCUAAGAAAGAUCUCUAAAGUAUGCAUACGAGAAAACCUACGCCUGUUCUUAUAGUCAAGGGUAAUGGAAGUGGAAACUAUGGUGUUCCAAAAGUUAAUAAGAAAAGAUUGUAAACGGAUAUGGUACCAUAUGCUUCAGUUGUUGGAAGCUCAAGAAAUUACCCUGACACAGUUCACGUAUAUAUCCGUGUUGUUUUGGCAAUGUCCAGUCCAUAGAUAAAUGAAUGGAAUGGAUUCAAAGAUAUCGGCCUCAUGCUGAAAGAAAUAAGUGCUCUCAAAACAUUGUGAGUACAAAGGAGGAAUUGUGAAAUGUAUAGCGAAAUCCACAAUUGUCGCUAACUUUCAUACUCGGAUUUUUUGUGUGGAAAAUCUCCAAAUGAGUGAAACCAUUGUCAUCAAUGUGAUGCAAUGAUAUGUUAUAGCUUGAUAUGAGGCUGAGGGAUAGGCAACGUGGUUAAGGCUACCUGUACCCGGAGUGGAUAAUGGUUGACAACGACGAUUACCAUUUUAAGUUCUUUCGCUCCUGUCACAACGAGUCAAGUGUUGAUGCCAAACACACUCACAAAGGGUUACGUGUUGUGAAGGAGAAAGUCCUGGAUUAUGGAAAAUGCUUGAAGCAUAAAAGCAACAAACAAGUGUUUUGCAGAUCUGUUUAUCAAAGGCUUACCGCCCAGUGCGUUCGGAGAACACACAGUCGACAUGGGUUUAUGGUAUAGUCUAAUAUUUCCGGACAACAAAGGGCCCAAGGUUAAAGAAUCUGUCUUAAAAUAGAGAGGUACAUUGUGGCUGUCUCAUUCCAUCGGCAAUUGAGCCGUGACGAUGAAACAUGCCCUAUGUAUUGAUCUGUUACGAAACGGGUAAAGUUAAAAGUAUAUGAUGAGAUCAAGGGGGAGAAUGUUAGGUUGAUCUCUUUCCCAAUGGGGGCGUCCAGCCCAAGCAAGGCUGGUGGGCCCCUGUCGCGCAGUGCUAUAUGUAGAGGAGGUGGGGACCAUGGCACGGGUUACGAGGUUCGCCGCCGCCACUGGUUCCCCACUCUCCAACCCUAAUCCGAUCUAGAGGGAUGCACUGAAGCGACGGGAAGUCCAUCACCGCCACUACCGGAUCUCUCUCUCCUUCCCCACCGUCGUCCCCAUCUCACGACGGUCGCUGGAGGGAACUCAUCGAGAUCAUCACAAGGUAAAUCUCCACAUCACACCGAACACAUCUAGCCUUGUCGAUCCACGGAUCUAUGAGAUAUAUCCAAGCUAAGCUAUGACCUAACCGUUAUAUUAGUCAGACCGUGGUUCAAGGUAUGCGCUCCACAGUAAAAUAAUAGAAUGGACCUUAACAGGUUUCUUUGCUGAUAUGGUUUUUUAGAUCAAUCUUGGAUCUCUAGGGUUCAGGUUGCAUGAACCUAAUGCGCUAAUCAUGGAUCUCCUCGAUCACCUGAUGCUGAUGUAGUCAAAUCUUACUCUGCGUCACCGUUUACGGGUAGGGUUCAGUUGAUUUAAUUAUUAUAGAUGGUAUGACUAAUUAUUAUAGUUGGGGUAGCACCAAUUGCAGAGAAGCUGGUCCAGCAUCGUCUCAGAUGGUUUGGACAUAUUCAACGGAGGCCAUCGAAAGCGCCGGUGCAUAGCAGACGGAUAAAGCGUGCUGAGAAUGGUAAGAGGGGUCGUGAUAGACCAAACUUGACAUGGGAGGAGUCCGUUAAGAGAGACCUGAAGGUUUGGAAUAUCGACAAAGACUUAGCCAUGGACAGGGGUGCGUGGAAGUUAGCUAUCCACGUUCCAGAGCCAUGACUUGGUUUCGAGAUCUUAUGGGUUUCAACUCUAGCCUACCCCAACUUGUUUGGAACUGAAAGAUUUGGUUGUUGUUGUNUUGUUGUAUAAGUUGUUUCUAUGGACUUUAAUCAACCUGGUGGCCCUAUAUAUCUCCCACUGAUACAUUGCAUGUUGACAACGACAACAAAGUACCCUUUAGGACAGAAUGGGUGCAUCUUCCGAGGGAAGGAGCGAGUGACAAGACAUGUAAUAUAUUUUGAAACAUUUUGCAUAACAUGGAUGCUGACUAGACCUAGACAGAUAUACCACCUCACAGAGCAUACUAACCAUUAAGUUACAGUUAACACACAAAUAGUUGGAUAACGUUAUAGUCGAUACACAGAUACCACGACGUCUUGACGAAUCACUCGUUGAGACAAAAAUUGAUAUAGUAGCUUGGGGUGGGGAAUCACAGUAGUCUACCACUUUACUUGCCGUAUGCAUUAAAGCAUCUACAACCAGACCUCUCAUACCCAUCUCAAAUGUCCGGUCAGGCCGCCAGGUCAUUUUAAACGCCUGGGCUGACCGGCAUCCCUCAUAUUCAGCCUAAAUAUUAAGGAGCCCGGGCACGCCCGCCUGGAUCUCAGAGUUACAUGCAUGCUAGCCAUUUUCCUUUUCCUUUACCAAGUGAAAGUGCUGACUGAAUUCUAUCUCGUCUUGGUUUGGUUCACUGUGGCAUGUACGAUGUCAUUACUGAUUAGCUCAACCCUGCUUUUGAGCAUACACGUAAUUAUCUUCUUUUUGGGUAGCUCUUCACCGGUUACAACUAGCUUUGGCUCCAAGAUUAGUGCAAAAGGCAACCUUUUUUGUUCUAACUUUGCAACUUCCGCUGUCCAUGGAUUGGUCAUGUGCCAUGGCCAUAGCAACUUUGGUUGAGAUCAAUGCAGUCAACUUGUUUGUGAUUACUGUGAUAUUGCAUCACAAAUUGACCACCCGCAAUCAAGAAAUUAUACACCAUCCUUAAUGGUUUAGGCUUUCAAGAAAAUAUUAUAGAAUAGUAUCCAGGCUAAGCUAUGAUGUGCACUAGUAGAAAUAAGGGCUUUCGUCCCAGCUCGAAAAACACAUUAGUCCCGGUUCCUUUACGAACCGGGACUAAUGUUAGUAUUAGUCCCGGUUCAAGCCGCAAAGGCGUCGGUCGGGCAUUAGUCCCGGUUCAAAUGGGACCUUUAGUCCCGGUUCGUGUCUCGAACCGGGACUAAAGGGUUUGGAGGAUUUAGUCCCGGUUCGUGUCUCGAACCGAGACUAAAGGGUUUGGAGGAUUUACUCCCGGUUGGUGUCUUGAACCGGGACUAAAGGGUAGACCUUUAGUCCCGGUUCGUGACACGAACCGGGACUAAAGGUGUUCAGAUUUUUUUUCUGUUUUUAAAUUCUUGUUUGUAGUUUCUGUUUUAAAUUGCUUAUAUCUUUUAGGACAUUUGAUGUUUUUGAUUGAUUCUUUUUGCAUUAGAUUCAAAAUUUUGUCUAGUUUCUGUUUGUGCCAUUAGUUUUCAAAUUUAAAUUUGUUUAAUUUUGCUUCAAACCCAUUUUUUGAAUAAUUUGAGUUUACAAAUAGNNNNNNNNNNNNNNNNNNNNNNNNNNNNNNNNNNNNNNNNNNNNNNNNNNNNNNNNNNNNNNNNNNNNNNNNNNNNNNNNNNNNNNNNNNNNNNNNNNNNNNNNNNNNNNNNNNNNNNNNNNNNNNNNNNNNNNNNNNNNNNNNNNNNNNNNNNNNNNNNNNNNNNNNNNNNNNNNNNNNNNNNNNNNNNNNNNNNNNNNNNNNNNNNNNNNNNNNNNNNNNNNNNNNNNNNNNNNNNNNNNNNNNNNNNNNNNNNNNNNNNNNNNNNNNNNNNNNNNNNNNNNNNNNNNNNNNNNNNNNNNNNNNNNNNNNNNNNNNNNNNNNNNNNNNNNNNNNNNNNNNNNNNNNNNNNNNNNNNNNNNNNNNNNNNNNNNNNNNNNNNNNNNNNNNNNNNNNNNNNNNNNNNNNNNNNNNNNNNNNNNNNNNNNNNNNNNNNNNNNNNNNNNNNNNNNNNNNNNNNNNNNNNNNNNNNNNNNNNNNNNNNNNNNNNNNNNNNNNNNNNNNNNNNNNNNNNNNNNNNNNNNNNNNNNNNNNNNNNNNNNNNNNNNNNNNNNNNNNNNNNNNNNNNNNNNNNNNNNNNNNNNNNNNNNNNNNNNNNNNNNNNNNNNNNNNNNNNNNNNNNNNNNNNNNNNNNNNNNNNNNNNNNNNNNNNNNNNNNNNNNNNNNNNNNNNNNNNNNNNNNNNNNNNNNNNNNNNNNNNNNNNNNNNNNNNNNNNNNNNNNNNNNNNUUUUAAAAAAAUGCCUUUGUAGCAGAUGAGUUUUCGUCUGAAACCUUGAUACUCUGAGUUUUGUAGAAAAUAAACAAAAAUGAUAAAAUCUUCGAAAAAUAAAAUCAUUUGAGAUGUUGUUAGGUUUUAGUGUCUAGUCGGUACAGAAAUUUUAAGAUAUGAAUUUUGACCGUUUUUGCAAAAAAAGGAAAAAAAAUAAACGGCCAUAACUUUUGCAUACGACGUCCCAAAAAGAUUAAUAUAUCAAAAAAAACUAGAAAAAAUUGGUACUCGAUUUCACCCGGGCUUGCCCGGUGAAGUUUUCUCACAUGCUCAAAAUUCCAAAUGGAAAAAAAGUUAUUUCAAAAAGAAGUUUUUUCCAGAAAAAAGGAAGUUAAUUUUAUUUAAAAAUAUUAGGUUGUUUUCAUUGAAAUUCACUAUUAUUGUUACUUACUAAGUUUAUUUUAAUAAUUGUUUGUAAUUGAAAAAAUUAAAUCAUGUGACAUGACAUCAAGACCCAAGUUGUUUAUGAUAGAUAGCUUACUAUUGUCAGAAAAACAACAAGUGCAUACUUGGCAACUAGGGGUGAAGUUAGACGAUUUGAAAUGAGUGAUCCACGCUAGAGCAGUGAGGAUGGGUGAUUAGAGAUUAAAUUGUCAAAUAAUUCAAAGAUUAUAAAAUUGGAAUAAAACAUAAAAAAUAUUCAAAAAUAAAUUUUGAAUUUUUUUUAAAAAAGUCUACCUUUUCGGGUAAAAAAAAAACAGACGGAUCCUUUAGUCCCUGUUCGUAAGUAGAACCGGGACUAAAGGUACUCCCUCCGAGGCGGCCACGUGGAGCACCUUUGGUCCCGGCUUGGAACAGGACCGGGACUAAAGGUUAGGCCUUUAGUCCCGCCCCUUUAGUCCCGGUUGGUGAACCGGGACUAAAACCCCUUACGGGCCGGGACUAAAGGCCCUGUCUCCACUAGUGGUGGUGGCUAUAAUAUUUUAGGAGACUGAUGGUUAUAAUAGACAGGUCGCUCUAGGUACAUACUCCACUUUAAAAUAAGAAAACUGACCUUAACAAGUUUCUCUGCUGAAAUGUAUUUUCAUUGACAUGUUGAGAAUAUAUGAUUCAGGUGACGUGAACCUAAUGUGAUAAUCGUGCAUCUCGUUGACUGACCGGUGCUAAGGCACUCAAAUCAAAUCUCACUGUACAUCAUGAUUUACUUGUAGGAUUCGGUUAAUUAUUACAAGUGUUAGGACCAUAGAUUAAAGGACUUUAUUAGGGGCCGCAUAUUAAUCUUCCCAUGCAGGGCCUCCCUUCCAUCCAUUUUUUGCAUGAAUGCAACAUUGCAUAAGUACGACAUCAUUAAAUAUUCUUUUGAUCUUGAAUUAAAAAAAAAUCUCCUAAACCGUUACCUUCGUUUUCACCACUGACUUUGUCAUGACGAGAUCUUCAAAACUAGAUCCCAUGUCGACAUGUUUCGACAACUUUUGUUUUCGUCGGUACUUGCCAGAUUAUUAUCACUUACUUGUCAUAUUAUUUGUCACAUUAUUUGUCACAUUAAAUCAACUUGAUUAUCAGAUUUAUGAAUGUCGAUAUACCCCAUUAAAAAACUUGAUUCAUUGUACUCGUGCGUUCAUGCAUUUACUUGCUUAUUGUUAGUGUGUUAAUACCCACUUUUUAGCUCACAUAACAUGUAAUGCUUAAAAAAUAUAAAUUUUGUCGCGGUAACUACGUGUAAUUUUUAUGACAACUGUACACCCGUAAGAUGACUACUAGGAACGACGAAAAAAAAAUCAAUGAAACAUGUCAACAUGGGAUCUUAUUUUGCACUAGUAGAAAUAAGGGCUUUCGUCCCAGCUCGAAAAACACAUUAGUCCCGGUUCCUUUACGAACCGGGACUAAUGUUAGUAUUAGUCCCGGUUCGAGCGGUAAAGGCGCCGGUCGGGCAUUAGUCCCGGUUCAAAUGGGACCUUUAGUCCCAGUUCGUGGUUUGGAGGAUUUAGUCCCGGUUCGUGUCUUGGACCUUUAGUCCCGGUUCGUGUCUCGAACCGGGACUAAAGGGUUUGGAGGAUUUAGUCCCGGUUGGUGUCUUGAACCGGGACUAAAGGGUAGACCUUUAGUCCCGGUUCGUUUAAGAUUUUUUUUUUCUGUUUUUAAAUUCUUGUUUGUAGUUUCUGUUUUAAAUUGCUUAUAUGUCUUAGGAUAUUUGAUGUUUUUGAUUGAUUCUUUUUGCAUUAGAUUCAAAAUUUUGUCUAGUUUCUGUUUGUGCCAUUAGUUUUCAAAUUUGAAUGGUUUAAAUUUGAAUUUGUUUAAAUUUGCUUCAAACCCAGUUUUUGAAUAACUUGAGUUUACAAAUAGUUUUUAAUUUAAUUCUUUUUGCUCCCAGUCAUGUGUUAGAUUGUUGUCACAGUAAGAUUUAUUUGGUUAUUUUUAAAAUAAUUUAAAUUAGGCUUUUAAUUAAAGAAAUAUUAUUUUGCUUAUAUAGUUGUUUUAGUUAUUUAAUUGUUGUUUUUUUAUUAUUUCAAAAAGUUAUUUCAAAAAGAAGUUUUUUCAAAAAGUUGUUGUCACAGUAAGUCUUUUAUUAUUUCAAAAAGUUAUUUCAAAAAGAAGUUUUUUCCACACAAAAAAUGAAAAAUAUUUUUAUUUAAAAAUAUUAGGUUGUUUUCAUUGAAAUUCACUAUUAUUGUUACUUAUUAAGUUUAUUUUAAUAAUUGUUUGUAAUUCAAAAAAUUAAAUCAUGUGACAUGACAUCAAGACCCAAGUUGUUUAGGAUUGAUAGCUUACUAUUGUCAGGAAAACAACAAGUGCACACUUGGCAACUAGGGGCGAUAGAACCAGAAAGUUAAGCGUGCUCGGGCUGAAGCAGUGAAAGAAUGGGUGAUCGGCCGGGAAGUUAGACCAUUUAAAAUGAGUGAUCCACGCUAGAGGCUGAAGCAGUGAAAUGAUGGGUGAUCGGCCGAUGGGUGAUUAGAGAUUAAAUUGUCAAAUAAUUCAAAGAUUAGAAAAUUGGAAUAAAACAUAAAAAAUAUUCAAAAAUAAAAUUUGAAAAAAGAAAAAUCUACCUUUCCGGGUCAAACAAACAAAAAAAAACAGACGGAUCCUUUAGUCCCGGUUCGUAAGUAAAAGCGGGACUAAAGGUACUUCCUCCAAGACGGCCUAAACUGAAGAAAAAGGAUGCUUCUAUGGUGGCUCUUUCUUCUGUUGACUAAUGUUGGGCUUAAUAGUUUCAUGUUUUUCUUAAACUGAGUGCGACUUAGUAAUGAGUGUUAUUAAUAGCAUGAUGUAAUUUGUCGAUUCAAAGAGAGCAGAAAAAUAUCUGUUCACAAGGAAAGUUUCGUAUGCAAAAAUCUGUAUAAAAUACAAAAAGAAGUUACUUUAAAAAUAAAAGAGCAAAUCUGAAUAAGUGAGCUAACCUUUUAUUUUGUACCCACAAAGUUUUGGAAAGAACAAAAACUUAUGAUAUGAAUAGUCGAUUGAGAGCCAGCGGUUAACGUCGACAAGCUCGGGCCAAAAGUGCGCGAAGUGCAUAGGGCUGAAUGCAGCUGCAGAGCAAAUGAAACAGGUGUCAGACAUACACAUUGUAAACUUCCAAGUAACAUUAACGAAUUACUUAAUGAUAGUUUGGAUCAACAUGAGCAAUAUCAAAGCCUUGGAUGGAUUUUUUUGAAUGCACGCGUACUCAUUGGUGCGACCCGCACGUGUAUUCCCGGCCUACGCAGCAUCCAGCAAAGAGAUUCUCCUCCGUCUCUCUACACAUCACCUGCGCCUGCGUCUAAUUCUUUACUCCGGGGCCAUGUCCUCAUCGUCGUGGUUCUUCUGCUGGAGGAGGGGCGCGGAUGUUCUGAGUCUGGAGAUCCUGCACCGCAGCUCCGAGACAUAGCCGUCGGUUCACUGUGGCGUCGCCUCUCCCUACCCCCUGCUACUGCUUUAUGGCGCAAAAUAGGUCAUUGCGCGUAUGCUGGAAAGUCAUCACCGCAUUUAUCUCCUCUCAUAGUGCACCCUUCCGAUCGUGGUGGCAAGUGAUCCCUCCAUGACGUAGGUUCGCCGCCGCGGCAUGACCUUGAUGUCCCACCCUAAACUAGGUUUUCACGAUUUUAGAAGAUUUUAUAAUAUAAUCGAGUCUGGUAGAAAAGAAGGACCACCAAAACGCCAUUUGCCUGUAAAACUUUAUUUGCGCUGGGCUUCCGUGGGUCAUUGGAUCGAAAGGAAUAGCCAGAUGGCUUUCUUCUUCCUCCAUAUGUUUCGGAAUUUAGCUGGCUUGUAUAGCGCACAAUCUCUCCAUCAACUGCCGCUUGCAGUGUCGUCCCCUACUAAGGCGAUAUUGCUAUCUAAUCCUAGACGCACUCAAAUACAAAAAGAUCCUUGCCCCUCAACCAGCACCGGUUAACCUCGUCCUCGCCUCUACCAGUGAUUGUGCAGCUAGAGGCGCCGUCCCUGUCCCUAGCUAUACAAUCUAAGUGGUGGUUAUAAUUUUGUUAGGACACUAGUGGUUAUAAUAGUCAGGUCGCUCUAGGUACAUAGGCCACUUUAAAUAACAAAAUCGACCUUAACAAGUUUCUCUGCUGAAAUGUAUUUUCAUAGACAUGUUGAGAAUAUAUAUGAUUCAGCUGACCUGAACCUAAUGUGAUAAUCGUGCAUCUCCUUGACCGACUGGUCCUAACUGCUAAAUCAGUCAUAUCUGACUCUACAUCAUGAUUUACUUGUAGGAUUCCGUUAAUUAUUACUAGUAGUGGGACUCAUUUUCCUCUCUGACACAUAUGUGCAAUUCUGAUGGACUAGUCGGUUGAUCGGUCUCACGCCUACCUCCUGCUGUUUAAUUGCAUAUAGCCAAUUGGUCUAGACUAUUGCACAACAAAACAGUGCUUUAUAUGGCACCAGCAACAGGUACGAAAAGCUAAGUCCGGUGAUCUUCUCAACCCUUUGUUCUUGCAAAGAUAUCAAUAAUUAGACCGAAUGGUUCUUAGCACCAUAAUAAUUUCUAGUGAGAUAUGAAAUUGCAAAAACAUAGAAUUAAUUAAUAAACUUGUUAAAUUUGACAAUAUAUAUGUUAAGGCAUAUAAUUAACAACCAGAAGAACGGUAGAAAAAUCUCGAAGAAGGAAGAAUUAGAAAAGGGGCAGACAUGUUAAUGCACAUACACUCCACAGCUACUUUGUACUCCCUCCGUCCCAAAAUAACCGUCUCAAGCUUAGUACAACUUUGUAUUAGACCUAAUACAAAGUUGAGACACUUAUUUUGGAACGGAGGGAGUAGAAAAAAGGAAGGAUGCCAUGACAAUAGUAAAAUUUCAGGACACAAAACAUAAUUCUGGUGGCUGGGGAGUUACAGUUGCAGAUAAGGAUUUUAGUAACAGAACAAAAAAAGCAGAGAGCAGCAUAUUGAUGCAACCCAGGCUCAAACAUAUAGUCAGACCAUGCAUAAUUUGCUUUAUAUUUGUAUAAAGAGAAUGAAUCAAUCUUCAAAGACAUAUACAUUAUAACAUUUCAGGUACAUAAGUCAUAGCCGAUUUCAGUUCAAUAGAUCAGUAAAGGGGAUUCAGUUCAUGCUUGGACCAACUAUUCAUGUGAUAGGUCAUAGGUUUCAAGAGAAACUGAAAUACAUUAAAGAUCUAUUCAUUUUAAUUCUACUUAUUCUAAUUUGUAUGAGUUAAUUUUCUAAAUAUUGAUUUUGGCGUUGAGUCACAUUUUAGCUUGACAGUCUUCACCUUCUCGGGGGUUAAUGACUUGUAGUAGACAUACAUGAUGAGGUCGAACAUCCCACUAAGUCCAUUGGGGAUCUGUAGUGCAUGAAUUAAGACAAAAGCUAAUAUGGUUGGAUCCCAAAAAUAGAGACAUUACAGACCUCUACUUCAUGGUCGUAAGUAAUAUCUCCAUUUUCAGGUUCACGGUUAGUACCACACUUGUCUUUGUUUGUGCACUAUAUAUAUCACAAUGGCCUCAAUACGAUGUUUGCCCUCAUUUUGUAUUCGUAUUACUGCAAGUCGACCCCCAAGAAGGAGAAGAACAUCAAGCUAAAAUGUGAUUGAAAGCCAAAGAUCAAUAUAUAUGUAGAAAUACCAGUGAUUUAGAAAUAAAAUAAGUGUGAUUAAAACGCAUAGAUUGUAUUUCAAGUUCUCUUGAAAUAUAUGACAUGUGAUUUGAAUAGUUUGUCCAAGCAUGAACUUCAAAAAUAGAUGGAACCAAAAGCCUUAUGCAAUAUUACUCAGCUGUAGUUACACAGGAAAGGAGAAUCCUAAGUGAGAAAGCAAUGUGACAAGUCCAGGACUCCACCGAAGUCUGCACCCACUAAUCUUAGCCAAAUAGAGCGUUUAGGCCAACAAUUUGAACUAAGAGGUCUUUUCGCUGAUGUUAGAGACAUCGGGAGCCUCAAUCACAUUCCAAGCACCACCUCACGACAUGGCUUGAUCAUAACUAGACAUACUUCGUUUUUUGCUCAUGUACAUUAGGUUACCAAUUCUCCUUCGACAGAUCUGACGAUGACUCUAGGCUUAGUCCUGUCAACCAUAUUCUAUACCUGCUUUUCUUAUCACUUGAUAACAAAUCAUCAAGCUCUAUUUUACAGUAUAGUGAAAAGACUAUCUAAGAAAGACAGCCUACAUAAUCUCUCAUCGACACCUCACAAUCAGUGUCUGAAGGUUCAUGAUAAACAUUGGUUUCCCAUUUUAUUCGUCACAUGGCAAAACAAAUUUGGGCAUAAGUGUUUUAUUAUAGUUAUGACCAGGAGUAGUGGCGGAGCUUCAGCAGUACCACAGUGCCUAUUUAAUUGUGGCUAAACUGAAGAAAAAAGAUGCUGCUAUGGUGGCUCUUUCUUCUAUUCAAGAGUCUUGAGCUUAAUAGUUUCAUGUUUUUCUUAAAGUGAGUAAGACUUAGUAAUAAGUGUUACUAAUAGCAUGAUGUAAGUUGUCGAUUCGAAGAGAGCAUAAAAAAUCGGGUCGCAAGGACAAAACUUUAUAUGAAGUGCAAAAAAAUGUUACUUUAAAAAUAAAAGAGCAAAUCGGAAUAAGUGAGCAAACCUUUUGUUUUGUACCCGAAAAGAAUUAGAAAUAAAAUAAAAAAUCUGAUAGGAAUACUCGAUGGAGAGCCAGCGGUUAAUGUCGACAAGCACAGACAAUGCGCAUGCAGCAGUAGCAACUGAAACAAGUGUCAGUCAUACACAUUGUAAGCUUUCAAUUAACAGUAAUGAAUUACGUACUUACUGAUUGUUUGGAUCAACAUCAGCAAUAUCAAGGCCUUGGAUGCAUGCACGCGUACUCACUCUCGUGCGACCCGCGCGCACGUGUAUUCCCAGACUUCACGCCAUCCGGAGAAGAGACUCUCCUCCGUCUCUACACACGUCAGCUGCGCCUGCGUCUACUCCUUGCUCCGGUGCCAUGUCCUCCGAGACACAGCGGCGCCGCCUGCCUGCUCCCCCUGCUGCUGCUUGAUGUCGCGGGAUUGAUCAUUGCGCGCAUGCAGGAAAGAUGCCGCCGCCUCCAUCUUCUCGAUCGUGAUGGCGGCGAGCGAUCCCUCCAAAACUAGGUUUUCACGAUCGUGAUGGCCAGCGAUCUCGAUCUCCAUCCUACGUUCGCCGCCGCGGGACGACCUUGCUGUUCCACCCAAAACUAGGUUUUCACGAUUUUAGUACAAGAAUUUAUAGGAAAUAACAAGUAAAUUAUAUAAUGGAGUCCGGUAG